GAUGAACGCUGGCGGCGUGCCUAAUACAUGCAAGUCGAGCGAACGGACGAGAAGCUUGCUUCUCUGAUGUUAGCGGCGGACGGGUGAGUAACACGUGGAUAACCUACCUAUAAGACUGGGAUAACUUCGGGAAACCGGAGCUAAUACCGGAUGAUAUUUUGAACCGCAUGGUUCAAAAGUGAAAGACGGUCUUGCUGUCACUUAUAGAUGGAUCCGCGCUGCAUUAGCUAGUUGGUAAGGUAACGGCUUACCAAGGAAACGAUGCAUAGCCGACCUGAGAGGGUGAUCGGCCACACUGGAACUGAGCCACGGUCCAGACUCCUACGGGAGGCAGCAGUAGGGAAUCUUCCGCAAUGGGCGAAAGCCUGACGGAGCAACGCCGCGUGAGUGAUGAAGGUCUUCGGAUCGUAAAACUCUGUUAUUAGGGAAGAACAUAUGUGUAAGUAACUGUGCACAUCUUGACGGUACCUAAUCAGAAAGCCACGGCUAACUACGUG
RNAcentral lists this ribosomal RNA (497 nucleotides) under uncultured bacterium. RNAcentral's name for it is "partial 16S ribosomal RNA". It matches the Rfam family "Bacterial small subunit ribosomal RNA", at positions 28 to 507 of the family's 1533-position model. The record is from RNAcentral.